This 362-nucleotide unclassified non-coding RNA is filed under the name Hevea brasiliensis (rubber tree). The record is from RNAcentral. Lineage: Eukaryota; Viridiplantae; Streptophyta; Magnoliopsida; Malpighiales; Euphorbiaceae.
AGUUUUUGAGGCUGCAAGCUUUGGAGGGACAAAUAUUGAUCCGACGGCUUGGGAGGAUAAGAAAUGCCCCGGAGAAUCCCGUUUCCCUGCUCAGGUGAGAGUGAUAACAAGGCAAAUAUGUGAGCCAUUGGAGGAGGAUUCAUUUAGGCCAAUUCUUCACCACUAUGAUGGCCCUAAAUUCCGACUUGAGCUCAGCAUUCCAGAGGCCAUUUCUCUACUUGAUGUUCUUUACCACCAAAAUUCUUAACUUUUGAACACUUACUCAACUCUUAGCUAAGCUACAAUAAAUCUUCAUAUGUAAAUACUUAUACUCAUAAGUUCUCUCUAUGACAUGAUUAUAUGUAAUAUGGUUUAGGAUGAGG